AAUGAACGCUAGCGGCAGGCUUAACACAUGCAAGUCGAGGGGCAGCACGGGUAGCAAUACCUGGUGGCGACCGGCGCAAGGGUGCGUAACGCGUGAGCAACAUGCCCUAUACAGGGGGAUAAUCCAGGGAAACUUUGGUCUAAUAUCCCAUAGCAUUUAGAGGAGGCAUCUUCACUAAAUUAAAGCUUCGGUGGUAUAGGAUUGGCUCGCGUGACAUUAGCUAGAUGGUGAGGUAACGGCCCACCAUGGCUAUGAUGUCUAGGGGUUCUGAGAGGAAGACCCCCCACACUGGGACUGAGACACGGCCCAGACUCCUACGGGAGGCAGCAGUGAGGAAUAUUGGACAAUGGAUGGAAAUCUGAUCCAGCCAUGCCGCGUGCAGGAAGACGGCCCUAUGGGUUGUAAACUGCUUUUAUAUGGGAGCAAUAAGGUUUACGAGUAGACCGAUGAGAGUACCAUAUGAAUAAGCAUCGGCUAACUCCGUG
This 485-nucleotide ribosomal RNA is filed under the name uncultured bacterium. RNAcentral's name for it is "bacterial SSU rRNA". It matches the Rfam family "Bacterial small subunit ribosomal RNA", at positions 29 to 507 of the family's 1533-position model. The record is from RNAcentral.